GGGGUUGUGGUGUAGCUUGGUUAGCAUCGUAGGUUUGGGACCUGCAGACCCAGGUUCAAAUCCUGGCAACCCCA
Molecule: transfer RNA, 74 nt
Filed under: Candidatus Pacearchaeota archaeon
Lineage: Archaea; Nanobdellati
Description: tRNA-Pro
Rfam family: tRNA
About the family: Transfer RNA (tRNA) molecules are approximately 80 nucleotides in length. Their secondary structure includes four short double-helical elements and three loops (D, anti-codon, and T loops). Further hydrogen bonds mediate the characteristic L-shaped molecular structure. tRNAs have two regions of fundamental functional importance: the anti-codon, which is responsible for specific mRNA codon recognition, and the 3' end, to which the tRNAs corresponding amino acid is attached (by aminoacyl-tRNA synthetases). tRNAs cope with the degeneracy of the genetic code in two manners: having more than one tRNA (with a specific anti-codon) for a particular amino acid; and 'wobble' base-pairing, i.e. permitting non-standard base-pairing at the 3rd anti-codon position.
Source: RNAcentral